This 474-nucleotide ribosomal RNA is filed under the name uncultured organism. RNAcentral describes it as "partial 16S ribosomal RNA". It matches the Rfam family "Bacterial small subunit ribosomal RNA", at positions 331 to 801 of the family's 1533-position model. The record is from RNAcentral.
GUACACUCCUGCGGGAGGCAGCAGUGAGGAAUAUUGGACAAUGGGUGGAAGCCUGAUCCAGCCAUCCCGCGUGCAGGAAGACGGCCCUAUGGGUUGUAAACUGCUUUUAUCUGGGGAUAAACCUACUUACGUGUAAGUAGCUGAAGGUACCAGAAGAAUAAGCACCGGCUAACUCCGUGCCAGCAGCCGCGGUAAUACGGAGGGUGCAAGCGUUAUCCGGAUUUAUUGGGUUUAAAGGGUCCGUAGGCGGACUGAUAAGUCAGUGGUGAAAUCCGACAGCUUAACUGUCGAACUGCCAUUGAUACUGUUAGUCUUGAGUAAGGUUGAAGUGGCUGGAAUAAGUAGUGUAGCGGUGAAAUGCAUAGAUAUUACUUAGAACACCAAUUGCGAAGGCAGGUCACUAAGUCUUAACUGACGCUGAUGGACGAAAGCGUGGGGAGCGAACAGGAUUAGAAACCCCGGUAGUCCCAUGAU